AUUGAACGCUGGCGGAAUGCUUUACACAUGCAAGUCGAACGGUAGAGGGGGCAACCCCUUGAGAGUGGCGAACGGGUGAGUAAUAUAUCGGAACGUGCCCAGUCGUGGGGGAUAACGUAGUGAAAAUUACGCUAAUACCGCAUACGAUCUAAGGAUGAAAGCGGGGGAUCGCAAGACCUCGCGCGAUUGGAGCGGCCGAUAUCAGAUUAGGUAGUUGGUAGGGUAAAGGCCUACCAAGCCAACGAUCUGUAGCUGGUCUGAGAGGACGACCAGACGCACUGGAACUGAGACACGGUCCCGACUCCUACGGGAGGCAGCAGUGGGGAAUUUUGGACAAUGGGCGAAAGCCUGAUCCAGCCAUUCCGCGUGCAGGAUGAAGGCCCUCGGGUUGUAAACUGCUUUUGUACAGAACGAAAAGGUCUCUAUUAAUACUAGGGGCUCAUGACGGUACUGUAAGAAUAAGCACCGGCUAACUACGUGCCAGCCGCCGCCGUAA
RNAcentral lists this ribosomal RNA (496 nucleotides) under uncultured bacterium. RNAcentral describes it as "partial 16S ribosomal RNA". It matches the Rfam family "Bacterial small subunit ribosomal RNA", at positions 30 to 523 of the family's 1533-position model. The record is from RNAcentral.